GCGGGUGUGGUGAAAUUGGUAGACACGCUAGAUUUAGGAUCUAGUGCUUUACGGCUUGGGGGUUCGAGUCCCUUCACCCGCA
Molecule: transfer RNA, 82 nt
Filed under: Flavobacteriaceae bacterium
Lineage: Bacteria; Pseudomonadati; Bacteroidota; Flavobacteriia; Flavobacteriales; Flavobacteriaceae
Description: tRNA-Leu
Rfam family: tRNA
About the family: Transfer RNA (tRNA) molecules are approximately 80 nucleotides in length. Their secondary structure includes four short double-helical elements and three loops (D, anti-codon, and T loops). Further hydrogen bonds mediate the characteristic L-shaped molecular structure. tRNAs have two regions of fundamental functional importance: the anti-codon, which is responsible for specific mRNA codon recognition, and the 3' end, to which the tRNAs corresponding amino acid is attached (by aminoacyl-tRNA synthetases). tRNAs cope with the degeneracy of the genetic code in two manners: having more than one tRNA (with a specific anti-codon) for a particular amino acid; and 'wobble' base-pairing, i.e. permitting non-standard base-pairing at the 3rd anti-codon position.
Source: RNAcentral